This 334-nucleotide unclassified non-coding RNA is filed under the name soil metagenome. RNAcentral's name for it is "partial contains 5.8S ribosomal RNA, internal transcribed spacer 2, and large subunit ribosomal RNA". The stretch from base 1 to 120 matches the Rfam family "5.8S ribosomal RNA", at positions 35 to 154 of the family's 154-position model. The record is from RNAcentral.
GAUGAAGAACGUAGCGAAACGCGAUAGUUAAUGUGAAUUGCAGAAUCCAGUGAAUCAUCGAGUCUUUGAACGCACAUUGCGCCCCUUGGUAUUCCAUGGGGCAUGCCUGUUCGAGCGUCAUUUGUACCUUCAAGCUCUGCUUGGUGUUGGGUGAUUGUCUAUCUUUAUAGACUCGCCUUAAAGUCAUUGGCAGCCGGCAUAUUGGCCUGGGAGCGCAGCACAAGUCGCGCUUCUUGUCAUGAAUGUUGGCGUCCAGUAAGUCUACAUAUUUUGCUCUUGACCUCGGAUCAGGUAGGGAUACCCGCUGAACUUAAGCAUAUCAAUAAGCGGAGGA